AGAAUGUGUAAAGUCUGUAUUAUUUGAUACUGUAUGUCUUUGAAAUGUGUCUAGGGAGAAUUAUUCUGUUCAUAGUUUCAUAUGACAUUAGUUUUUCAUUCUAACUCACAUUGACAUAGAAUAUUCUAGAGAAUCAAUUUUCACUACUAUUUAAUAUUCCAUUAUAUUAAUUUUUUUGAAUUCAUUAUCCAUUCUUGAAUUAAUGGCCACUUCCCCACCUCUCAAUUGUUUGUACUACUGCAAAUGGUAUUGUGUAACUGAACAUGUCUCUGCAUGCCUAGGUGCAAGAUAUUCUCUAUUUCUGGGAAUAUAAAAAGUGUGCUUUAUUUAACAUGUUUUAUUUAACUUUACAAAACAUGACAACAUGCUUUCCAACUGAUUAAGUCAAGUAAAUAAUUCCACUAACAGUUCAUGAGUGAUUUCAAAUGCUCUAUAUCUAGGACUACAAUGACGAUUCAGUAUUCUUUUAAUUUUGCUUGUCAGUUGGGUUAAAAUUUUAUCUCACUGUACAAUAUAGUUUCAGUUUUAACUUCUCUGGUUGCCAAGGAUGUUCAAGAUAUUUAUUGUAUUUAUAGGCUGCCAGUAUUUUUUGUAAGCUGUCUUUUGCCUGAUUAGCUACUCAUUUUGGCUGAUUAGCUAUUAUUUAUUUGUAACUGUAACUGUUCUUUAUAUGUUGUGGAUACUAAACCUUUUUCGCUGAAUGUAUUGCUUUUCAAUUUGUGGCUUGUUUUCACUCUCUUCAUGAUGGUUUUUGUUCAAUUUCUUAAUUUAGUUGAAUGUGCCCUUCUUUUCUUUUGGGUGUAUUUUUUCUUAUUCUUUACAAGGAAUUCUCCUGUAACCCAAGUUCGUGAAGAUAUACUCCUUUGUUAUUUACUAAAACUCUUAACAUUUUGAAUUUUGCACUUAAGCAUUUAAUCCAUUUGUAAUUUAUCUUAGCCUAUGCGGUGGGGAAGCCUUUUAGUACAUCUUUUUUUGUGUGGAUAACAUUUGUCACAGGAUAACUCAUUGUAUAUUACAUCACCCCUCAUAUAUAUGCAAUGACAGCUCUGUUAUAUGUCAAAUUCCUAUAUAUGCAGG
Molecule: long non-coding RNA, 1077 nt
Filed under: Marmota monax (woodchuck)
Lineage: Eukaryota; Metazoa; Chordata; Mammalia; Rodentia; Sciuridae
Source: RNAcentral